AAGAUGGUGUUGAUGGACCAAAUAACGAUUUUGCUGUUAUUUGAUAUAUUGUAAUUGAGUACAUUCGUUUCAGUGCUUUGAUACAUUCAUGAGUUUCAUUCCUGACUCUUGUAGGGUGCAAUGAUUGGCGUCACUCUAUGGCAAUAACUAUUUGCUGAAUUUGAGGCAAAGUUGCAUUGUGGUUCUGCAUAUUUGAUUCAGAACAUUAAAGUUGUUGACAAUCAUUCUACAUACAAAACAAGUAUCCCUUCAAUGUCCAAAAUAUCAAGCACGGGUCAAAGUUGUAUGUCAACAUUGAUAUAGCAAAAAUCCAAGAAUUCCAUAAUAGAUGUAGGUACGUUGUUCUAUUCUGGCAGAGUAUCAAAUGAAGGAAGUGUUUCUCAAUCACAAUAUAUCCAAUAUUCCCAACGAAACUCGGUUGAAAAGUUCUUGCAUAAUGCUCAAAUGGUUAGGUUAGGUGAAAUAAGCAGACUGAGACAGGACUGUUACUAUUUGAUCGUUGGUACGGUGGAUGAAGUCAUCAUUGAUACACCAUGGAGUUAUGAUAAUUAUCCCUAUUGUACUAUGACAUUUGAUCCAUUGAAAAUUGGUGUCAAUUUUUGUUCGUGCUAGAACCAAGUUACUCACACCAUUCCAAGGUAUAAGUUAGUUCUAAAAAUGGAACAGAAUGGGGAGAAGACUAACUUCCAUUUCUGGGAUGCAACAUGUAUCAAAAUCUUUGACAAAACGGCCGAUCAAUGUUGCCAAGAGUUGAUUGCAGUAUGUUUUCUGAAUUAGAAUCAUCCAUGUAUGUUAUCUAUAUUCAUAUUGCAUUUAAUUUGUUUAUUUAUUCAUAGAGUGGCGAUGAGAUCAAGGUUUUCCCUCCCUAUUUUGAUGAAUUAUUGGGAAAGACUUGGGCUAUCAAGUUUUAGUACCAUGCACGAUGCUCAAAAAGGCCUACAAUGUGUUGCUGAACCUUGGUACCAAUAUUUGAGAGACAAUGCCUUUAGUGUUGGAGAUGAGAUAUGUUUCUACUUCAGGCCUAAUAAAAAAGUAUGAAAGUUGAUAAUCAGAAAACAGUUGGCUUGGGAUGACAGUGACUCCAAUUGAAGAUGGCAAUUCAGUAGCUUAUUUUAGAAUUGUUUGUUGGUGAAAUUAUUAUGUGUCUAUGCUAAAGUACUUCUAUGUUGUAAUUCAAUUACCUAGCAUUGCCAGACAAUGUUUCCUUUUGGUAUUUACGACUAUCUGAACAACGUUACAAAACUAUAUGGUCAUUUACUAUUUGUUGAAAUAUAUAACUUUCUUUUGGAUAUAUUCAUA
Glycine soja is the source of this 1299-nucleotide long non-coding RNA. RefSeq lists it as uncharacterized. The transcript is spliced from 5 exons. NCBI's taxonomy places the organism in Eukaryota, Viridiplantae, Streptophyta, Magnoliopsida, Fabales, Fabaceae. The record is from RefSeq and is a predicted model, not a curated record.